Molecule: ribosomal RNA, 497 nt
Filed under: uncultured bacterium
Lineage: Bacteria
Description: partial 16S ribosomal RNA
Rfam family: Bacterial small subunit ribosomal RNA
Source: RNAcentral
GAUGAACGCUGGCGGCGUGCCUAAUACAUGCCAGUCGAGCGAACGGACGAGAAGCUUGCUUCUCUGAUGUUAGCGGCGGACGGGUGAGUAACACGUGGAUAACCUACCUAUAAGACUUGGAUAACUUCGGGAAACCGGAGCUAAUACCGGAUAAUAUUUUGAACCGCAUGGUUCAAAAGUGAAAGACGGUCUUGCUGUCACUUAUAGAUGGAUCCGCGCUGCAUUAGCUAGUUGGUAAGGUAACGGCUUACCAAGGCAACGAUGCAUAGCCGACCUGAGAGGGUGAUCGGCCACACUGGAACUGAGACACGGUCCAGACUCCUACGGGAGGCGGCAGUAGGGAAUCUUCCGCAAUGGGCGAUAGCCUGACGGAGCAACGCCGCGUGAGUGAUGAAGGUCUUCGGAUCGUAAAACUCUGUUAUUAGGGAAGAACAUAUGUGUAAGUAACUGUGCACAUCUUGACGGUACCUAAUCAGAAAGCCACGGCUAACUACGUG